GAUGAAGAACGUAGCGAAAAGCGAUAAGUAAUGUGAAUUGCAGAAUUCAGUGAAUCAUCGAAUCUUUGAACGCACAUUGCGCCCGCCAGUAUUCUGGCGGGCAUGCCUGUCUGAGCGUCAUUUCAACCCUCAUGCCCCUAGGGCGUGGUGUUGGGGAUCGGCCAAAGCCCGCGAGGGACGGCCGGCCCCUAAAUCUAGUGGCGGACCCGUCGUGGCCUCCUCUGCGAAGUAGUGAUAUUCCGCAUCGGAGAGCGACGAGCCCCUGCCGUUAAACCCCCAACUUUCCAAGGUUGACCUCAGAUCAGGUAGGAAUACCCGCUGAACUUAAGCAUAUCAAUAAGCGGAGGA
RNAcentral lists this unclassified non-coding RNA (348 nucleotides) under soil metagenome. RNAcentral's name for it is "partial contains 5.8S ribosomal RNA, internal transcribed spacer 2, and large subunit ribosomal RNA". The stretch from base 1 to 120 matches the Rfam family "5.8S ribosomal RNA", at positions 35 to 154 of the family's 154-position model. The record is from RNAcentral.